GACGAACGCUGGCGGCGUGCUUAACACAUGCAAGUCGAACGGAAAGGCCCUGCUUUUGUGGGGUGCUCGAGUGGCGAACGGGUGAGUAACACGUGAGUAACCUGCCCUUGACUUUGGGAUAACUUCAGGAAACUGGGGCUAAUACCGGAUAGGAGCUCCUGCUGCAUGGUGGGGGUUGGAAAGUUUCGGCGGUUGGGGAUGGACUCGCGGCUUAUUAGCUUGUUGGUGGGGUGAUGGCCUACCAAGGCGGUGACGGGUAGCCGGCCUGAGAGGGUGGACGGUCACACUGGGACUGAGACACGGCCCAGACUCGUACGGGAGGCAGCAGUGGGGAAUAUUGCACAAUGGGCGCAAGCCUGAUGCAGCGACGCCGCGUGAGGGAUGGAGGCCUUCGGGUUGUGAACCUCUUUCGCCAGUGAAGCAGGCCUGCCUCGUUUGUGGGUGGGUUGACGGUAGCUGGAUAAGAAGCGCCGGCUAACUACGUG
Molecule: ribosomal RNA, 485 nt
Filed under: uncultured bacterium
Lineage: Bacteria
Description: partial 16S ribosomal RNA
Rfam family: Bacterial small subunit ribosomal RNA
Source: RNAcentral